GAUGAACGCUGGCGGCGUGCCUAAUACAUGCAAGUCGAGCGAACAGACGAGGAGCUUGCUCCUCUGACGUUAGCGGCGGACGGGUGAGUAACACGUGGAUAACCUACCUAUAAGACUGGGAUAACUUCGGGAAACCGGAGCUAAUACCGUAUAACAUGUUGAACCGCAUGGUUCAACAGUGAAAGACGGUCUUGCUGUCACUUAUAGAUGGAUCCGCGCCGCAUUAGCUAGUUGGUAAGGUAACGGCUUACCAAGGCAACGAUGCGUAGCCGACCUGAGAGGGUGAUCGGCCACCUGGGAACUGAGACACGGACCAUACUCCUACGGGAGGCAGCAGUAGGGAAUCUGCCGCAGUGGUGGAGAGCCUGACGGAGCAACGCCGAGUGAGUGAAGAAGGUCUUCGGAUCGUAAAACUCUGUUAUUAGGGAAGAACAGAUGUGUAAGUAACUAUGCACGUCUUGACGGUACCUAAUCAGAAAGCCACGGCUAACUACGUG
This 497-nucleotide ribosomal RNA is filed under the name uncultured bacterium. RNAcentral describes it as "partial 16S ribosomal RNA". It matches the Rfam family "Bacterial small subunit ribosomal RNA", at positions 28 to 507 of the family's 1533-position model. The record is from RNAcentral.